Molecule: ribosomal RNA, 484 nt
Filed under: uncultured bacterium
Lineage: Bacteria
Description: partial 16S ribosomal RNA
Rfam family: Bacterial small subunit ribosomal RNA
Source: RNAcentral
AUUGAACGCUGGCGGCAGGCCUAACACAUGCAAGUCGAGCGGAUGAAGGGAGCUUGCUCCUGGAUUCAGCGGCGGACGGGUGAGUAAUGCCUAGGAAUCUGCCUGGUAGUGGGGGAUAACGUCCGGAAACGGGCGCUAAUACCGCAUACGUCCUGAGGGAGCAAGUGGGUGAUCUUCGGACCUCACGCUCUCAGAUGAGCCUAGGUCGGAUUAGCUAGUUGGUGGGGUAAAGGCCUACCAAGGCGACGAUCCGUAACUGGUCUGAGAGGAUGAUCAGUCACACUGGAAGUGAGACACGGUCCAGACGCCUACGGGAGGCAGCAGUGGGGAAUAUUGGACAAUGGGCGAAAGCCUGAUCCAGCCAUGCCGCGUGUGUGAAGAAGGUCUUCGGAUUGGAAAGCACUUUAAGGUGGGAGGAAGGGCAGUAAGUUAAUACCUUGCUGUUUUGACGUUACCAACAGAAUAAGCACCGGCUAACUUCGUG